GAUGAACGCUGGCGGCGUGCCUAACACAUGCAAGUCGAACGGAGUCCAGCCUUUAAGACCUUCGGGUCAAAGAGGGGAAGACUGAGUGGCGGACGGGUGAGUAACACGUGGGCAACCUGGCUCAUAGAGGGGGAUAACAGAGAGAAAUUUCUGCUAAUACCGCAUAAGCACACACUGCCGCAUGGCAGAGGGUGAAAAGAGAAUCGCUAUGAGAUGGACCCGCGUCUGAUUAGCCAGUUGGCAGGGUAAGAGCCUACCAAAGCGACGAUCAGUAGCCGAUCUGAGAGGAUGAACGGCCACAUUGGGACUGAGACACGGCCCAAACUCCUACGGGAGGCAGAGUGGGGGAUAUUGCACAAUGGGGGGAACCCUGAUGCAGCGACGCCGCGUGAGUGAAGAAGUAUUUCGGUAUGUAAAGCUCUAUCAGCAGGGAAGAUAAUGACAGUACCUGAAUAAGAAGCCCCGGCUAACUACGUG
Molecule: ribosomal RNA, 477 nt
Filed under: uncultured bacterium
Lineage: Bacteria
Description: partial 16S ribosomal RNA
Rfam family: Bacterial small subunit ribosomal RNA
Source: RNAcentral